This 66-nucleotide microRNA precursor is filed under the name Daphnia pulex (common water flea). RNAcentral describes it as "Dpu-Mir-22-P2_pre stem-loop". The record is from RNAcentral. Lineage: Eukaryota; Metazoa; Arthropoda; Branchiopoda; Diplostraca; Daphniidae.
CGGUCCUUCCCGGGGCACCUUGCUGAUAGGUAGUCAAGCACGCGAGCUGCCCAGUGAAGGGCUUUC